CAGUAACUGACGCUGAGGAGCGAAAGCGUGGGGAGCGAACAGGAUUAGAUACCCUGGUAGUCCACGCCGUAAACGGUGGGUACUAGGUGUGGGUUUCCUUCCUUGGGAUCCGUGCCGUAGCUAACGCAUUAAGUACCCCGCCUGGGGAGUACGGCCGCAAGGCUAAAACUCAAAGAAAUUGACGGGGGCCCGCACAAGCGGCGGAGCAUGUGGAUUAAUUCGAUGCAACGCGAUGAACCUUACCUGGGUUUGACAUGCACAGGACGACGGCAGAGAUGUCGUUUCCCUUGUGGCCUGUGUGCAGGUGGUGCAUGGCUGUCGUCAGCUCGUGUCGUGAGAUGUUGGGUUAAGUCCCGCAACGAGCGCAACCCUUGUCUCAUGUUGCCAGCACGUAAUGGUGGGGACUCGUGAGAGACUGCCGGGGUCAACUCGGAGGAAGGUGGGGAUGACGUCAAGUCAUCAUGCCCCUUAUGUCCAGGGCUUCACACAUGCUACAAUGGCCGGUACAAAGGGCUGCGAAGCCGCGAGGUGGAGCGAAUCCUUUAAAGCCGGUCUCAGUUCGGAUCGGGGUCUGCAACUCGACCCCGUGAAGUUGGAGUCGCUAGUAAUCGCAGAUCAGCAACGCUGCGGUGAAUACGUUCCCGGGCCUUGUACACACCGCCCGUCACGUCAUGAAAGUCGGUAACACCCGUAAGCCGGUGGCCUAACCGUAAGGGAGGGAGCCG
RNAcentral lists this ribosomal RNA (725 nucleotides) under uncultured Actinomycetes bacterium. Its description in RNAcentral is "bacterial SSU rRNA". It matches the Rfam family "Bacterial small subunit ribosomal RNA", at positions 734 to 1455 of the family's 1533-position model. Lineage: Bacteria; Bacillati; Actinomycetota; Actinomycetes. The record is from RNAcentral.